AGUGAACGCUGGCGGUAGGCCUAACACAUGCAAGUCGAACGGCAGCACAGUAAGAGCUUGCUCUUACGGGUGGCGAGUGGCGGACGGGUGAGGAAUACAUCGGAAUCUACUUUUUCGUGGGGGAUAACGUAGGGAAACUUACGCUAAUACCGCAUACGACCUACGGGUGAAAGCAGGGGUUCUUCGGACCUUGCGCGAUUGAAUGAGCCGAUGUCGGAUUAGCUAGUUGGCGGGGUAAAGGCCCACCAAGGCGACGAUCCGUAGCUGGUCUGAGAGGAUGAUCAGCCACACUGGAACUGAGACACGGUCCAGACUCCUACGGGAGGCAGCAGUGGGGAAUAUUGGACAAUGGGCGCAAGCCUGAUCCAGCCAUACCGCGUGGGUGAAGAAGGCCUUCGGGUUGUAAAGCCCUGUUGUUGGGAAAGAAAAGCAGCAGGUUAAUACCCCGCUGUUCUGACGGUACCCAAAGAAUAAGCACCGGCUAACUUCGUG
This 492-nucleotide ribosomal RNA is filed under the name uncultured bacterium. Its description in RNAcentral is "partial 16S ribosomal RNA". It matches the Rfam family "Bacterial small subunit ribosomal RNA", at positions 29 to 507 of the family's 1533-position model. The record is from RNAcentral.